This 101-nucleotide signal recognition particle RNA is filed under the name marine eukaryotic metagenome. Its description in RNAcentral is "Bacteroidales small SRP". It matches the Rfam family "Bacteroidales small SRP". From Rfam's summary of the family: The non-coding component of the signal recognition particle in Bacteroides The record is from RNAcentral.
AUUUGGGCAAGUCUUAUACGACCAGCUCCUGCUGAAUCCCCCAGGUCUUGAUCGAAGCAAGGGUAGGCGGUUGUAGCGGUGCGAUGUGAGUAACUUGCCCU